This 460-nucleotide ribosomal RNA is filed under the name uncultured bacterium. RNAcentral describes it as "partial 16S ribosomal RNA". It matches the Rfam family "Bacterial small subunit ribosomal RNA", at positions 338 to 795 of the family's 1533-position model. The record is from RNAcentral.
CCUACGGGCGGCAGCAGUGAGGAAUAUUGGUCAAUGGACGAGAGUCUGAACCAGCCAAGUAGCGUGAAGGAUGACUGCCCUAUGGGUUGUAAACUUCUUUUAUAUGGGAAUAAAACAGGGUAUGCAUACCCUCUUGUAUGUACCAUAUGAAUAAGGAUCGGCUAACUCCGUGCCAGCAGCCGCGGUAAUACGGAGGAUCCGAGCGUUAUCCGGAUUUAUUGGGUUUAAAGGGAGCGUAGGUGGAUUGUUAAGUCAGUUGUGAACGUUUGCGGCUCAACCGUAAAAUUGCAGUUGAAACUGGCAGUCGUGAGUACAGUAGAGGUGGGCGGAAUUCGUGGUGUAGCGGUGAAAUGCUUAGAUAUCACGAAGAACUCCGAUUGCGAAGGCAGCUGACUAAACUGCCACUGACAUUGAUGCUCGAAAGUGUGGGUAUCAAACAGGAUUAGAUACCCUAGUAGUC